This 726-nucleotide ribosomal RNA is filed under the name uncultured Glomus. RNAcentral describes it as "SSU rRNA". It matches the Rfam family "Eukaryotic small subunit ribosomal RNA", at positions 369 to 1097 of the family's 1831-position model. Lineage: Eukaryota; Fungi; Glomeromycota; Glomeromycetes; Glomerales; Glomeraceae. The record is from RNAcentral.
GUUAGGGCACGACACCGGAGAGGGAGCCUGAGAACGGCUACCACAUCCAAGGAUGGCAGCAGGCGCGCAAAUUACCCAAUCCCGACACGGGGAGGUAGUGACAAUAAAUAACAAUACGGGGUUCUUAUGGAUCUCGUAAUUGGAAUGAGUACAAUUUAAAUCUCUUAACGAGGAACAAUUGGAGGGCAAGUCUGGUGCCAGCAGCCGCGGUAAUUCCAGCUCCAAUAGCGUAUAUUAAAGUUGUUGCAGUUAAAAAGCUCGUAGUUGAAUUUCGGGGUCAGUAGGUUGGUCAUGCCACUGGUAUGUACUGGUCUCACUGAUUCCUCCUUCCUGAUGAACUGUAAUGCCAUUAAUUUGGUGUUGCAGGGAAUCUGGACUGUUACUUUGAAAAAAUUAGAGUGUUUAAAGCAGGCUAACGCCUGAAUACAUUAGCAUGGAAUAAUGAAAUAGGACGUUCGAUCCUAUUUUGUUGGUUUCUAGGAUUGACGUAAUGAUUAAUAGGGAUAGUUGGGGGCAUUAGUAUUCAAUUGUCAGAGGUGAAAUUCUUGGAUUUAUUGAAGACUAACUACUGCGAGAGCAUUUGCCAAGGAUGUUUUCAUUAAUCAAGAACGAAAGUUAGGGGAUCGAAGACGAUCAGAUACCGUCGUAGUCUUAACCAUAAACUAUGCCGACUAGGGAUCGGAUGAUGUUAAUUUUUUAAUGACUCANUCGGCGCCNUACGGGAAA